This 404-nucleotide ribosomal RNA is filed under the name uncultured bacterium. Its description in RNAcentral is "bacterial SSU rRNA". It matches the Rfam family "Bacterial small subunit ribosomal RNA", at positions 29 to 424 of the family's 1533-position model. The record is from RNAcentral.
AACGAACGCCGGCGGCACGCCUAACACAUGCAAGUCGCACGAGAAAGUCCCCGCAAGGGGACCGGUAAAGUGGCAGACGGGCGAGUAAUACGUGGGUAACCUGCCCUCGAGUGGGGGAUAACCCCGCGAAAGCGGGCUAAUACCGCAUCACAUCCCGGAACGCCAGUUUCGGGAUCAAAGGUGGCUCGCAAGGGCUACCGCUUGAGGAGGGGCUCACGUUCCAUCAGCUAGUUGGUGGGGUAACGGCCACCAAGGCAGUGACGGAUAGCUGGUCUGAGAGGACGGCCAGCCACACUGGCACUGAGACACGGGCCAGACUCCUACGGGAGGCAGCAGUGAGGAAUCUUGCGCAAUGGACGAAAGUCUGACGCAGCGAUGCCGCGUGGGGGAUGAAGGCCUCGGUC